This 245-nucleotide ribosomal RNA is filed under the name uncultured bacterium. Its description in RNAcentral is "partial 16S ribosomal RNA". It matches the Rfam family "Bacterial small subunit ribosomal RNA", at positions 524 to 768 of the family's 1533-position model. The record is from RNAcentral.
GACGAACCGUACGAACGUUACUCGGAUUUACUGGGCUUAAAGGGUGCGUAGGCGGCCCAGAAAGUUGGGUGUGAAAUACCUCGGCUUAACCGAGGAAUUGCGCUCAAAACUACUGGGCUUGAGGAAGAUAGAGGUGAGCGGAACUUAGGGUGGAGCGGUGAAAUGCGUUGAUAUCCUAAGGAACACCGGUAGCGAAAGCGGCUCACUGGGUCUUUUCUGACGCUGAGGCACGAAAGCUAGGGUAG